Myotis brandtii (Brandt's bat) is the source of this 1034-nucleotide long non-coding RNA. RefSeq lists it as uncharacterized. The transcript has 3 exons. The record is from RefSeq and is a predicted model, not a curated record. NCBI's taxonomy places the organism in Eukaryota, Metazoa, Chordata, Mammalia, Chiroptera, Vespertilionidae.
GUUCCGGGAAAUGGCUUCUUGGUCUUACAUUGUAUGAGUUCAGGGAGGGAGAAGGAAAGGCCCUGCAUCCCACUGCUGGCGCUGAGUGCGAACGGCUCCGGGCCUGCCUCCCGCCGCUCUGCCUUCCUCACCAGGCUAUCUCGGCAGGCUCUCUGGGCGUAGGCUCUCCAAGCCCGUUUCCUCGGCAGCCUUGUGGGGACAAAACAACAGCAUGUCUUCUCAAGGUGGUUGUGAGGAUGAAACACAGUUCCUACUUGCAGUGUUCGGUGCGGUGCCGAGCAGGCUGCAGGCUGCAGGCCGGAGCUCACUGUCAUCACCAAGCGCGCUAAGUCAGAGCAGAAGGCUCAGGUGGCUGUGGGUGCACCCAUAGGAGCGGCAGCAGGAGAGGAUUCGUUCCUAACAGCCCUGCCCGCCAGCCUGGCCCAGGAGUAAAGAAUUCCUCGAGUCUUGGAUCCCCCGGUUUUCCUGGUGACUCCACCAGGACAGGGUCUGCACUACUUGUUGCCUCCAACCAAAGCCUUGUCAGGUGCAGUAUACACACAGGCCUCAUGUGUCUUGCUGUCCUUAACUUAUCAAGUCCUCAAGGCCAUGGUAAGUCGGCCUUGAGUCUGACCUCACUCUCUUAGCAUUGAAUUCCUUGGCUAUUUAUUCUCAGCUUGGUACUCACGUUUUGUUACUGAUUCCCAUGCAUCUUUGAUGGAACCAGGCCAUUCAUUUCAUUUUGCUGUCUUUUUUGUUACUGUUUUCUGUGCUGUCUAAAAGUGCUGUUUGUUAUAAGAAGGAGAAUCAUAGGAUAGACCACAGGCAUGGGCGUCAGAACACUGCUGCUGAAGCUGGCCUCACAGACCUGUGAGUUUGGGAUUCUCACCAGACCAGCAUCCACUAGGACAAACGUUGCUGUGGAGUCACCAGCGAAACCGGAUGAGGUUCUUCCAUCUGGAUUUUGUGUCCCGAGAGCCUUAAUCCUUGCCAUGGCAGGCUGGUUCUAUUAAAAUACAUCAAAACAGAUCCUAACGAUUCCAUGUCACCCCAGC